RNAcentral lists this ribosomal RNA (526 nucleotides) under uncultured bacterium. Its description in RNAcentral is "bacterial SSU rRNA". It matches the Rfam family "Bacterial small subunit ribosomal RNA", at positions 355 to 896 of the family's 1533-position model. The record is from RNAcentral.
UUAGGAAUUUUGCGCAAUGGGGGAAACCCUGACGCAGCCACGCCGCGUGCGGGAUGAAGGCCUUCGGGUCGUAAACCGCUUUUGUCGAGGAAGACACCCGACGGUACUCGGCGAAUAAGCAACGGCUAACUACGUGCCAGCAGCCGCGGUAAUACGUAGGUUGCGAGCGUUGUCCGGAUUUACUGGGCGUAAAGCGCGCGCAGGCGGUCUUGAAAGUCGAAUGUGAAAGCUCCCGGCCCAACUGGGAGAGGCCGUUCGAAACUUCGAGACUUGAAGGCGGGAGAGGCAGAUGGAAUUUCCGGUGUAGCGGUAAAAUGCGUAGAUACCGGAAGGAACACCAGUGGCGAAAGCGAUCUGCUGGCCCGCCCUUGACGCUCAGGCGCGAAAGCUAGGGGAGCGACCGGGAUUAGAUACCCCGUUAGUCCUAGCCGUAAACAAUGGGCACUAGGUGUUGUCGGUAUCGACCCCGGCAGUGCCGAAGCUAACGCAUUAAGUGCCCCGCCUGGGGAGUACGACCGCAAGGUUA